CUAUCUGUUAUUUACUUAAGCUGGAACUUCUAUAAUAGAGAAUAAGCUUACGAUGGCUUAAGUGGCCGUGUUUAGGAUCACGAUAAUUUGCUCUUGAAUGAUAGGUCACUGAAGAAUGAAAGAUUGCUCGUUUUUUCUGUGUGUGUGUGUGUGUUAAUCUCCUAUGCAGUCCUCUAGUAAGCAUGAUUUAUAGAAACUGGUCUGAAGGAACAAGUAUGUGCUGUAAAAUCUUUUUCCGGGAAUAUAUAUGUGGUGGUCUUAUUUCAUGAUUUUCUUUUUCUCUAGAUAAUGAGCUAUUGCCCCACUGAUUUAGUGUUAAUUUCUAUUUUAGUAAAAAACAAUAACAAUAAAACACAAAGUUGCACUUGACGAACUCAUUUGGGUUAACAAAUUAACAUUUCCUUUUGUUUCUUUCUGUAUGGUGAUUGUUCAACUUGCAGUGGGACAAUUGAAGGCGACAUAUUAGUUUUACAUUCUUCCCAGUAUGCAGUUACAUACAGCAGUUAAGAAAGCUCAUCUUGGCAUAGUUACAUACCUGAUGUUUUCACAUGAUUCAAGGUUCUUGUACAAAUUUGUGUCCCUCUUUAAAUAAACAUUUUUAAAAAUAUGCACCUGUACUUGAGAAGUUUGAUUAAUUGUUAAACCAUUUGAUUUCGUUUACAGGGCUCUUUUGUCAACAUCUUCUGAUUCAAGUGCAAGAGUGACACUGAUAAGAAGGAAAGAGGUAUGUAUUCCUUGACAAGUUGGUUGUCGACUAGCUGUAGUAUAAUAUUUGCAAGUAUUUAGAAAUGAAAUUUGCUAUAGUAAUAUAUGCAUGUGCAAGUACCUGUCAAAAAAACAAACUAUAAGCAGAGCUAAAUGUUAGUUUCCUUCGAAUUAUUAGAACUGGGUUUAGAAAGUAUAGCCUUGUGAACCAUUUUUAUAUGCCACUGGUACCAUUAACUUGUAGAUUUAAGACUUUAAGCGCAGCUACAGGUUAAAAUAAGUGUGAGACGGAAAGUAAAUAUAUAUGUCAGAAGCAUAUAAUAUGUGUUUAUACAGUUGGCUUAUUUUGAAAUGAUUUGUUAAUUAUCUACUUCUGGUGAACUGCAGGAUUAAGCUUGUGGGCCAUCUUAUUCAUGAUAUUGCUAGUGAUAGCCGUGUAUUACACAAAAUUGGCGGAAUUGCUUUCGUAUAGCAAUCCUACUGCUUGAAAAUGUGUGGAAUAUCUUCCAAGUGGAUCAUGAUAUUUUAAUUCUUCUGUCUUUGAAUUUCAACAAUAUAUUGGAUUUUGUAAUAGAGGAACGCUAUAAAUUAUUUUUAAGUCGUGGAUGAGUGAUGCAAACUUGGAUCAGCGAGUGCUGUUUCAUUUUAUUAUUUUUUUUAAUUCUGGUUAUAGCAAUGGUUAAUUGUAAGCUCUGUACCUGGACAAAUUAGUGAAUGGUGCAUAUAUGUAUUGCUUUUUUUUUUCCCUUGGACGUAGUCACACCAAUGGGCUAUGGUUAAAAGAUAAACUCUUCGGUUGCUCA
Molecule: long non-coding RNA, 1508 nt
Filed under: Daucus carota (carrot)
Lineage: Eukaryota; Viridiplantae; Streptophyta; Magnoliopsida; Apiales; Apiaceae
Description: long non-coding RNA (DCAR_LNC005107)
Source: RNAcentral